This is a long non-coding RNA of Schistocerca gregaria, 1248 nucleotides long. RefSeq lists it as uncharacterized. Lineage: Eukaryota; Metazoa; Arthropoda; Insecta; Orthoptera; Acrididae. The record is from RefSeq and is a predicted model, not a curated record. The transcript has 2 exons.
CGUCAGUUGCUAGUUGGUAUCGCGGCUGUGUAAGUCGUGGCUCGCCAUAUUGUGUGAAUUUGGAUGUUUAUGUUCCGUAGUGUCGCGGUGUUUUCCUUGCCAAUUCGUUGUCUACCGGGAGUACGCUAUUAAAAGUGAAAGUGUGUCAUUACAGUUCUGAAAAUCGUAUGAAGAAAAGUUUUUCAAUAGUUGUGCUUCUCACUUCAUUGUUUUGAGGUUGGCACACCAGGCGUGAUUUAAAGUGCAAGUUGACGGGAAUACUGGCAGCAGACGACUUAUUUGUUUCGACAAGAAUGCCUGUUCGUAAACAAGGUGGUCGCUUGCAGCACGUUGUGAUCGGAGUGGGCGUGUGGGAGCCAGGCUACGGGCUCCCGAUACAGCUGUGCGGACGCAGUCACCACGCGCUUCUGGACCCGAGCCUUCGACCCUGCAGCGGCAUCCACAGGCUCGGCGCCGUGCGCGCCGACACAGUGGAAUCCUUUUCUCACGCCUUCUUCUGUAAUCUUCAAUGACAAGUCUUCUAACAUCACUAUUCCGAUCGUUUUGGAAGGCGAUCACCUCGUCCAGAAAUCUGUUCAAUGAGCCUGAACCUUGUUCUUUGAAAUUUCGUGGACUUCCGACAGAAUUUCUGUUUUUGUUGUGGUGCGAACGCCAGACACACCCGAUUAGCCACUCAAAACUCUCGUUAUGACUGCUCAUCUUUUGCCCACGCUGCAUCGCCUCUCACAUGUAUACCUUGGAGCCACAACGUAAUUUUUCUUCUACAAACGACCAUUCCAUUUUGUAAUACAGUGUAUUACGGACUUUGAACGAUAGGUAGCCGCAGAUAUGCACUAUUAAUUCAUUUUCACUCACACAAGCUACACUUUCGUGAUAUCAAGUAGUGUCUACCUGUGUCGGAAUGUUUUUUUAAUUGUUAAAAAUCCUUCGAAAUAUGUAAAUACAUCGUCCGUGUAAGAUGAUAAAUUUUAUCCACGUAAAUAUAACUACUGUAUGAAGAAAAGCAACCUACCCACAAUUAAGGUUUUUGACAUAUUUUUGUUCUGUGAGUUCUUUGUUACGAAAUACACGAAAGUUGAGUAAUUGACGUGUUACAUUAAUAGUAAAAUGAGCAGUACGAAUAAAUUUAUACCGGGAUCAUAAGUGGAAUUACCAAGAGGUAAAAAAAACCAGUCUGUAGACAAAAGCGGUGGUAUAUGUACUGUUACAAACUGCUGUAUUUGUUGAUUAAUAAAUGCAUAAAAUGUA